GAUGAACGCUAGCGGCAGGCCUAAUACAUGCAAGUCGGACGGGAUUGAGAAGCUUGCUUUUCAUGAGAGUGGCGCACGGGUGCGUAACACGUAUGUAACCUACCCAUAUCAGGGGGAUAGCCUCUCGAAAGAGAGAUUAAGACCGCAUAACAUUAUUGAAUGGCAUCAUUUAAUAAUCAAAUAUUUAUAGGAUAUGGAUGGGCAUGCGGAACAUUAGCUAGUUGGUAAGGUAACGGCUUACCAAGGCUACGAUGUUUAGGGGAACUGAGAGGAUGACCCCCCACACUGGUACUGAGACACGGACCAGACUCCUACGGGAGGCAGCAGUAAGGAAUAUUGGUCAAUGGACGGAAGUCUGAACCAGCCAUGCCGCGUGCAGGAAGACGGCCCUAUGGGUUGUAAACUGCUUUUGCAGGUGAAUAAACCUCGAUACGUGUAUCGAGCUGAAUGUACUCUGAGAAUAAGGAUCGGCUAACUCCGUGCCAGCCGCCGCAGUAA
Molecule: ribosomal RNA, 498 nt
Filed under: uncultured bacterium
Lineage: Bacteria
Description: partial 16S ribosomal RNA
Rfam family: Bacterial small subunit ribosomal RNA
Source: RNAcentral